RNAcentral lists this long non-coding RNA (439 nucleotides) under Phoenix dactylifera (date palm). RNAcentral describes it as "long non-coding RNA (PDAC_LNC002755)". The record is from RNAcentral. Lineage: Eukaryota; Viridiplantae; Streptophyta; Magnoliopsida; Arecales; Arecaceae.
UAAUAAUCAACGGAGUCCAAACAACAAUCUUUUAAUUCCGUUUCUUCCGCCGCUUCCCCACCACGCGCUGUUUCCUCGCAAGUCCCGAUGCUCAUGCCACCGACCUAUCGCGUAUUGCGGUUCGACGGCCCCCGUCAACCCCCUCCGAGCCGUCAGAUCCCCGUCCACCUACUCACACGACCUCCAUCCCGUCCGUCCGUCUGACCUCGCCGCCUAACGCGCUGCCGUGACCCAAGCGGAAACGUCCACGUCGGCGGCCGUCACGUGCCGUCGGGCCGCCACGUCGAGACAAGAAAGCGGCCGCGUUAGCUCAUUCCCGGCUUUGUCGGCGAGGGUCGUCGUGUCGGCCUCUCCGACCGACACCCGCCAUCCGGACUCCCAGAUUCCUGUGCCCCUUAUCUCCUCCCUCGGUCUUCCUCCAUCUAACGUCCGUUAUUUC